This 491-nucleotide ribosomal RNA is filed under the name uncultured bacterium. Its description in RNAcentral is "bacterial SSU rRNA". It matches the Rfam family "Bacterial small subunit ribosomal RNA", at positions 28 to 507 of the family's 1533-position model. The record is from RNAcentral.
GAUGAACGCUAGCUACAGGCUUAACACAUGCAAGUCGAGGGGCAGCAUGAACUUAGCUUGCUAAGUUUGAUGGCGACCGGCGCACGGGUGAGUAACACGUAUCCAACCUUCCGUUUACUCAGGGAUAGCCUUUCGAAAGAAAGAUUAAUACCUGAUAGUAUGGUGAGAUUGCAUGAUAGCACCAUUAAAGAUUUAUUGGUAAACGAUGGGGAUGCGUUCCAUUAGGUAGUAGGCGGGGUAACGGCCCACCUAGCCGACGAUGGAUAGGGGUUCUGAGAGGAAGGUCCCCCACAUUGGAACUGAGACACGGUCCAAACUCCUACGGGAGGCAGCAGUGAGGAAUAUUGGUCAAUGGGGCGAGAGCCUGAACCAGCCAAGUAGCGUGAAGGAUGAAGGUCCUACGGAUUGUAAACUUCUUUUAUACGGGAAUAAAGUAUCCUACGUGUAGGAUUUUGUAUGUACCGUAUGAAUAAGCAUCGGCUAACUCCGUG